This 250-nucleotide long non-coding RNA is filed under the name Sinocyclocheilus anshuiensis. Its description in RNAcentral is "lncRNA (ENSSANG00000018465.1)". The record is from RNAcentral. Lineage: Eukaryota; Metazoa; Chordata; Actinopteri; Cypriniformes; Cyprinidae.
UUUUAAAUGCCGGCUUGUGAAAUAUGAAAGCACUUUUAUUUUCCCUUUACUACAGUGACUGGCAGGCAUACACUCUGGCAAAAGACUUUCCAGUCUUGUGGGUGCCAUUGGGCUUCAGAUGUCCCGAGUUCGAGUCCCGGCUCACGGACCUUUCCCGAUCCCAUCCCCUUCGUUUCUGUCCACUGCCAGCCAUCCAAGUGCACACAUACAGCAAAGUCCUGAAGUCCAAUUAGAUGAUCAUAAACUCAAG